RNA transcript from Osmia bicornis bicornis, 1653 nucleotides. It is a transcript of the gene named splicing factor 3A subunit 3, with no coding region annotated. The transcript has 3 exons. NCBI's taxonomy places the organism in Eukaryota, Metazoa, Arthropoda, Insecta, Hymenoptera, Megachilidae. The record is from RefSeq and is a predicted model, not a curated record.
AAAUAAAUGGAAACGAUAUUGGAACAGCAACGACGUUACCAUGAAGAAAGGGAAAGGUUGAUGGAUGCAAUGGUUAAGGAAAUGCUUUAUAAAAAGCCAGGACACAGGGAAAAUAUAAAUUCGGAACACAGGUUAAAAAUGUUACUCGAUCAGUAUAUGGACAGUACUUUACAUUUACAGGAUCUGUAUGAAGAUAAAGAUGGACAAAGGAAAGAAGAGGUACAAGCACUCUCCGGGCCAAAUGAAUUUUCAGAAUUUUAUUCUCGAUUGAAAUCCAUAAAAGAAUUUUAUCGACGACAUCCUAAUGAGAUAAGUAUUCCAAUGUCUGUGGAGUUUGAAGAAUUAGCUAAAAUGAGGGAAAAUCCUACGGAAGAACUUUCAAAUCUUGUUGAAUUUACAGAUGAAGAAGGUUAUGGAAAAUACCUUGAUCUGCACGAAUGUUAUGAGAAAUAUAUUAAUCUCAAGGGGAUAGAGAAAAUAGAUUACAUCACAUAUUUGUCAACUUUUGACCAUUUAUUUGAUAUUCCAAGGGAAAGAAAAAAUGCUGAAUAUCAAAAAUAUGUUGAAUCUCUAUUAGAAUACUUGACUGAUUAUUUGAGUAGAGUUAGACCUUUGCUUGAUAUAAAUGGAGAAUUAGAGGAAGCAAAUAAAGAAUUUGAAACACAGUGGGAAAAUAGUACAUUUCCAGGAUGGCCAAAAGAAACUGGUAGUGCUUUAACACAUGUUGGAGCUCAUUUAGAACUUUCUGCUUUUUCUUCAUGGGAAGAACUUGCAUCCCUUGGUUUGGAUAGAUUAAAGUCAGCUUUAAUGGCUUUAGGUUUAAAGUGUGGCGGUACACUCGAGGAAAGAGCACAAAGACUUUUUAGUACAAAAGGAGAAGCAUCGCUGGACCCAAAUUUGUUGGCAAAAAAUAAUAGAAAUAGGAAAUCUGGAAAAGGAAGAAAUUCUGAAAAGCAAAAAGAAAUAGCUCGUUUCGAAGCUCAAGUGUACAGACUUGCAGAAUUGGUAUCCUCCCAAAGGGUGGCUACAAAAGAAAAUGUUCAAAGAAAGCAAGCCAGAACAGAAGGUGAGAGAGGAGAUUCUGAUGCAGAAGCAAGUGCUAGUGAAUCAGAAGAAGAAGAUGAUAAUGAAGUUCCUUACAACCCUAAAAAUCUUCCACUUGGUUGGGAUGGUAAACCUAUCCCAUAUUGGUUAUAUAAAUUGCAUGGUCUGAAUAUUAGUUAUAAUUGUGAAAUUUGUGGAAAUUUCACAUACAAAGGACCCAAAGCUUUCCAAAGACAUUUUGCUGAGUGGAGACAUGCACAUGGUAUGCGUUGUCUCGGUAUUCCGAAUACUGCACACUUUGCUAAUGUCACACAAAUAGAAGAUGCUUUAGCUUUGUGGGAAAAGUUAAAAGCUCAGAAACAAGCAGAACGUUGGCAACCAGAACAAGAAGAAGAAUUUGAAGAUUCUCUUGGAAAUGUUGUUAAUCGUAAAACAUACGAGGACUUGAAGCGACAGGGCCUUUUAUAAAAUGCUCUAAAACUGGAUAAUUCUGUCAACAUUAUAGUUAAUUAAUCGAUAGAAACAAUAAAUAUGGGUACCCAAUUUAUAUUUUAAUAAUAAACGUGGAUCUUGGCCCAUAAAGAAGGAUAAGAUAAUUAAUAAUAACUG